This 76-nucleotide transfer RNA is filed under the name bacterium. Its description in RNAcentral is "tRNA-Arg". It matches the Rfam family "tRNA". Rfam says of the family: Transfer RNA (tRNA) molecules are approximately 80 nucleotides in length. Their secondary structure includes four short double-helical elements and three loops (D, anti-codon, and T loops). The record is from RNAcentral.
GUUCCCGUAGCUUAAUGGAUAGAGCGCCUGGCUACGGACCAGGAGGUUGGCGGUUCGAGUCCGUCCGGGAACGCCA